GCGGUGGAGCAUGUGGUUUAAUUCGAAGCAACGCGGCCAGAACCUUACCAGCCCUUGACAUCCCGGUCGCGGUUUCCAGAGAUGGAUUCCUUCAGUUCGGCUGGACCGGUGACAGGUGCUGCAUGGCUGUCGUCAGCUCGUGUCGUGAGAUGUUGGGUUAAGUCCCGCAACGAGCGCAACCCUCGCCCUUAGUUGCCAUCAUUCAGUUGGGCACUCUAAGGGGACUGCCGGUGAUAAGCCGAGAGGAAGGUGGGGAUGACGUCAAGUCCUCAUGGCCCUUACGGGCUGGGCUACACACGUGCUACAAUGGUGGUGACAGUGGGCAGCGAGACCGCGAGGUCGAGCUAAUCUCCAAAAGCCAUCUCAGUUCGGAUUGCACUCUGCAACUCAGUGCAUGAAGUUGGAAUCGCUAGUAAUCGCGGAUCAGCAUGCCGCGGUGAAUACGUUCUCGGGCCUU
RNAcentral lists this ribosomal RNA (457 nucleotides) under uncultured Mesorhizobium sp. RNAcentral describes it as "bacterial SSU rRNA". It matches the Rfam family "Bacterial small subunit ribosomal RNA", at positions 929 to 1382 of the family's 1533-position model. Lineage: Bacteria; Pseudomonadati; Pseudomonadota; Alphaproteobacteria; Hyphomicrobiales; Phyllobacteriaceae. The record is from RNAcentral.